CAUUGUAUGAAUGGGUCAGCUGUCGGAGGCUGCAGAUCCCUUAGGGACUCCCAGUUAGAAAUGGUACAUAAACGCAACUUUGGCAUGAUAGUUACUUAAAAGCUUAUAGGGACAUUCUAAUCACCAUAACCACUUCACCAUAAUGAAGUGGUUUUGAUGCAUGGAUGUUGUCAAUUUUACCCUCAACCGACAGUGUAAAUAAUUUAUACUUCUGAGAAAUGGCUAUGUCUAAAUGUGUCUGAAAUUAUGGCUCUAGUGGCUGUUAGACAUUCAGCCGCUAGAGCUGAAUAGUCAUUGAGGAUCUGGAAAUUUUUCGAACGUUUUCUUGUUCGAUGUUGAGCACGGCAUGUGGAUGCUCAGUGUAUUCACUGCCUCUCAAAGAGCAAUUUCUGCACACGUGCCCUUGGUCCCCUGAUGCUUUCUAAAAUGCUGCAUUGGACUGAAAUCAUCAGCAUUGAUAAUCUGAGGCAGAACAGAUGCUGCAAGGGGGAUGCUGCAAGGGGAAUAUCGCAGUCCUGGAUUACAGGUAAAAUUAGAAGUUAGUUUUUGUUUUUGUGAGGGGCGUCUAAUAGGGAAAUGAAGACCUCUAACUUUAAAAAAAAAAAAGUGUUUUUAAAACGGUUCUUUUAACAGAGUUCAUCUAAUCUUGUUUCCUGUUAAUGAUAUACAGAGCUCUGUGGCAUUUCUCACAGAAAAAGCCAAAGUACAUGCAAAUGUAUGUGUGUGUGUAUACAGAUGUUUGCAUUCUGCUCAAAAUGUCACAAGUUUUAGACUGUGGUGUGCUUAAUCCAGCCCCACUCUCAGUAGCUUUGCAAGCACGUUCAUACCUUCUAAAGCUUUGUGCGCUGCCCUGUUUCUUACAGCCAGUACUUGAACUGAUGUCAAGGAAAGCAGAAGAGUGAGCAUGUUUUGUAAAAUACUGUUCAGAGCUUUGAAAAUUCCAGCAAUUGACAAAAUAAAGUACCACUAUAAAGUUAUGAAAUCUUUUAUUCGUUGUAAAUCUUAUGUCUUAAUUGAUUUUAUUUAAUAAAAUAUAUAACAAUGUAAA
Molecule: long non-coding RNA, 1048 nt
Organism: Pelobates fuscus (common spadefoot toad)
Lineage: Eukaryota; Metazoa; Chordata; Amphibia; Anura; Pelobatidae
Exons: 2
Source: RefSeq, a predicted model, not a curated record